This 404-nucleotide ribosomal RNA is filed under the name uncultured prokaryote. Its description in RNAcentral is "partial 16S ribosomal RNA". The record is from RNAcentral.
CCCUCCGGGGCGCAGCUGUGCUCGGAAAGGUACCAGCAGGUCGCCCAGCGUUAUCAGCAGUUCCUUGCUGGCGAUGGCCAUUGGAAGGCCUGAGCACAGCAGGUCAUAGACCACUCCCGCCAGACUGACAGAAGCAGCUGCCACGACAGUCAUGUCAUACGAGACCGUGCCGAGCAUCGACGGCAGCUCCUCGUCGGUCACCACCGGAACCUGCAGGCCCUUGCGCUCCAGGAGGACCUGAAGUCGUUCCCGUCCGCCCUGGUCGGACAGCCCAACAAAGCGAGGUCUGAAUUCAGACACCUGGUCUGCCAGCAGCUCGGCGUGUCUGUGCGCUGUGAGUCCGACAACAUGAUACCUGCCGCAUCCGCUUCGGACCACGUCAAGCGUCUGGGUCCCGAUGGAGC